RNAcentral lists this long non-coding RNA (1196 nucleotides) under Strigops habroptila (Kakapo). RNAcentral's name for it is "lncRNA (ENSSHBG00005005800.1)". The record is from RNAcentral. Lineage: Eukaryota; Metazoa; Chordata; Aves; Psittaciformes; Psittacidae.
UUUUUUCUUUUUUUUCCCUUCCCCUUAGGAAACACCUUCCAAAGUAUUUACCAAUUUCUGGGUUUUUUGGGGGAUGAGGGUUGUUGUGUGGUGGUGUUCUUUGUUCUUGUGGUUUGGUUUUAGUGUUACGGGUUUUUUGGUUUAAGUAAAUGGAUCACAUUAUGAUCCUAUCGAAUAAUUAUAAUUGAUUUCUUCUUUUUUUUUUUUUUUAACAAGAAAAAGCACCCAGCAGUUGUUGAUCCUCUAGAACUCUUGCUUCUAAACUUGGGACCUCCACAAUAUUUUGGACUUUGGCCACUGCUGGGAUGCGUUCCCACAGCACAUCAUGCCUCACCCCUCUGGGGUAAACACAGACAAAUGUCAUAGUGCUGUGACAUGAUUGGGGGCACCUGGGGAAUAUUGACCAGUGGUCGGGAAUGCUGCUGUCAGUCCCCUCUUAAAAAGCUCAAUAGGUGUAUAAAUAACCCUGGUGGAAUACUUGUGUGUAAUAGAAUUUACCAGGAGAUCCCUGUCCAUGUCCAAACAUCUGUGUACAGAUGCGGUGCUUCAGAAGGUGCGUUUUGGAAGCAAACACGUGCCAGAGGUGCUGUGACAGCUGCUCUCUUAAUAAUUAACAACCCUGAGGAGGUGCAGCACCAGUUAUUGCUGCAGUUAUUGGGAUCGAUCUGCUGGGAUCCACUCAGACUCAUUGAGUGAGAUUUUUGCUUUCUGGACUUUUUGGGUAAUUUAUAGCUGAUGCUUUUUAAAUGUAUAAGUCGGGCCGUGUGCUUUGCUUCAGAUGUUUCAGUGUGUGUGUCCGCAGUGCUGCAGCGUUAGAUUGAUGUAUUGCUAAUUACGGGCUGGGGCAUUGUGUUACCUGAUGAAUUACAUGGUUGCUUGACUCCUCUCUCGCUAACGGGCUGUUAACCCCUGUGCCUUUUGCAUGGGAAAGGGGGAGUUGAUGGGAGCAGCAUCCAUCCCUUUUGUGAUUCAGGGCUCAGCCCCUGCCCUGUCCUGGGGACACAUCUGGGGAGGUGUCACAUCUGGUUGGGGGCCUGUAUUUGGUCACCCCGGAGGCAAAGGGCUCUUGGCAGCCUUUUCCUCUGGAUGGAACCUGAGGACAGGCUUGCAGAGCUCUGGAAAUGUCACCACAGCUGGAAAUGUCACAGUAGCUCCCCAUCCCUCUCCGGGGAGCGCACGGCAGUGGGUGCAGGAUC